GAUGAACGCUGGCGGCGUGCCUAAUACAUGCAAGUCGAGCGAACAGACGAGGAGCUUGCUCCUCUGACGUUAGCGGCGGACGGGUGAGUAACACGUGGAUAACCUACCUAUAAGACUGGGAUAACUUCGGGAAACCGGAGCUAAUACCGGAUAAUAUAUUGAACCGCAUGGUUCAAUAGUGAAAGACGGUUUUGCUGUCACUUAUAGAUGGAUCCGCGCCGCAUUAGCUAGUGGGUAAGGUAACGGCUUACCAAGGCGACGAUGCGUAGCCGACCUGAGAGGGUGAUCGGCCACACUGGAACGGAGACCCGGUCCAGAUUCCUACGGGAGGCAGCAGUAGGGAAUCUUCCGCAAUGGGCGAAAGCCUGACGGAGCAACGCCGCGUGAGUGAUGAAGGUCUUCGGAUCGUAAAACUCUUUUAUUAGGGAAGAACAAAUGUGUAAGUAACUAUGCACGUCUUGACGGUACCUAAUCAGAAAGCCACGGCUAACUACGUG
This 497-nucleotide ribosomal RNA is filed under the name uncultured bacterium. RNAcentral describes it as "partial 16S ribosomal RNA". It matches the Rfam family "Bacterial small subunit ribosomal RNA", at positions 28 to 507 of the family's 1533-position model. The record is from RNAcentral.